UACGUAGGGGGCAAGCGUUGUCCGGAUUUAUUGGGCGUAAAGAGCGUGCAGGCGGCCAGGUAGGUCUGCUGUGAAAACUCGAGGCUCAACCUCGAGACGUCGGCGGAAACCAUCUGGCUAGAGUCCGGAAGAGGAGAGUGGAAUUCCUGGUGUAGCGGUGAAAUGCGCAGAUAUCAGGAAGAACACCCGUGGCGAAGGCGGCUCUCUGGGACGGUACUGACGCUGAGACGCGAAAGCGUGGGGAGCGAACAGG
Molecule: ribosomal RNA, 253 nt
Filed under: uncultured bacterium
Lineage: Bacteria
Description: partial 16S ribosomal RNA
Rfam family: Bacterial small subunit ribosomal RNA
Source: RNAcentral